This 449-nucleotide ribosomal RNA is filed under the name uncultured bacterium. Its description in RNAcentral is "partial 16S ribosomal RNA". It matches the Rfam family "Bacterial small subunit ribosomal RNA", at positions 29 to 523 of the family's 1533-position model. The record is from RNAcentral.
AACGAACGCUGGCGGCAGGCUUAACACAUGCAAGUCGAACAGGCCCUUCGGGGUCAGUGGCAGACGGGUGAGUAACGCGUGGGAACGUGCCCUUCAGUUCGGGAUAACCCAGGGAAACUUGGGCUAAUACCGGAUACGUGCGAGAGCAGAAAGAUUUAUCGCUGAAGGAUAGGCCCGCGUCUGAUUAGCUGGUUGGUGGGGUAAUGGCCCACCAAGGCGACGAUCAGUAGCUGGUCUGAGAGGAUGAUCAGCCACAUAGGGACUGAGACACGGCCCAAACUCCUACGGGAGGCAGCAGUGGGGAAUAUUGGACAAUGGGCGCAAGCCUGAUCCAGCCAUGCCGCGUGAGUGAUGACGGCCUUAGGGUUGUAAAGCUCUUUCGCACGCGACGAUAAUGACGGUAGCGUGAGAAGAAGCCCCGGCUAACUUCGUGCCAGCCGCCGCGGUAA